Molecule: ribosomal RNA, 1343 nt
Filed under: uncultured bacterium
Lineage: Bacteria
Description: 16S ribosomal RNA
Rfam family: Bacterial small subunit ribosomal RNA
Source: RNAcentral
GACGAACGCUGGCGGCGUGCUUAACACAUGCAAGUCGAACGGAAAGGCCCUGCUUUUGUGGGGUGCUCGAGUGGCGAACGGGUGAGUAACACGUGAGUAACCUGCCCUUGACUUUGGGAUAACUUCAGGAAACUGGGGCUAAUACCGGAUAGGAGCUCCUGCUGCAUGGUGGGGGUUGGAAAGUUUCGGCGGUUGGGGAUGGACUCGCGGCUUAUCAGCUUGUUGGUGGGGUAGUGGCUUACCAAGGCUUUGACGGGUAGCCGGCCUGAGAGGGUGACCGGCCACAUUGGGACUGAGAUACGGCCCAGACUCCUACGGGAGGCAGCAGUGGGGAAUAUUGCACAAUGGGCGGAAGCCUGAUGCAGCAACGCCGCGUGCGGGAUGACGGCCUUCGGGUUGUAAACCGCUUUCGCCUGUGACGAAGCGUGAGUGACGGUAAUGGGUAAAGAAGCACCGGCUAACUACGUGCCAGCAGCCGCGGUGAUACGUAGGGUGCGAGCGUUGUCCGGAUUUAUUGGGCGUAAAGGGCUCGUAGGUGGUUGAUCGCGUCGGAAGUGUAAUCUUGGGGCUUAACCCUGAGCGUGCUUUCGAUACGGGUUGACUUGAGGAAGGUAGGGGAGAAUGGAAUUCCUGGUGGAGCGGUGGAAUGCGCAGAUAUCAGGAGGAACACCAGUGGCGAAGGCGGUUCUCUGGGCCUUUCCUGACGCUGAGGAGCGAAAGCGUGGGGAGCGAACAGGCUUAGAUACCCUGGUAGUCCACGCUGUAAACGGUGGGUACUAGGUGUGGGGUCCAUUCCACGGGUUCCGUGCCGUAGCUAACGCUUUAAGUACCCCGCCUGGGGAGUACGGCCGCAAGGCUAAAACUCAAAGGAAUUGACGGGGCCCCGCACAAGCGGCGGAGCAUGCGGAUUAAUUCGAUGCAACGCGUAGAACCUUACCUGGGUUUGACAUGGAUCGGGAGUGCUCAGAGAUGGGUGUGCCUCUUUUGGGGUCGGUUCACAGGUGGUGCAUGGCUGUCGUCAGCUCGUGUCGUGAGAUGUUGGGUUAAGUCCCGCAACGAGCGCAACCCUUGUUCACUGUUGCCAGCACGUUACGGUGGGGACUCAGUGGAGACCGCCGGGGUCAACUCGGAGGAAGGUGGGGAUGACGUCAAGUCAUCAUGCCCCUUAUGUCCAGGGCUUCACGCAUGCUACAAUGGCUGGUACAGAGAGUGGCGAGCCUGUGAGGGUGAGCGAAUCUCGGAAAGCGGGUCUCAGUUCGGAUUGGGGUCUGCAACUCGACCUCAUGAAGUCGGAGUCGCUAGUAAUCGCAGAUCAGCAACGCUGCGGUGAAUACGUUCCCGGG